UUAGAGUUUGAUCCUGGCUCAGGAUGAACGCUGGCGGCGUGCCUAACACAUGCAAGUCGAACGGACUCAUAUUGAAACCUAGUGAUUUAUGAGUUAGUGGCGGACGGGUGAGUAACGCGUGGAAAACCUGCCGUAUACCGGGGGAUAACACUUAGAAAUAGGUGCUAGUACCGCAUAAGCGCACAGCUUCGCAUGAAGCAGUGUGAAAAACUCCGGUGGUAUACGAUGGUUCCGCGUCUGAUUAGCUGGUUGGCGGGGUAACGGCCCACCAAGGCAACGAUCAGUAGCCGGCCUGAGAGGGUGAACGGCCACAUUGGGACUGAGACACGGCCCAAACUCCUACGGGAGGCAGCAGUGGGGAAUAUUGCACAAUGGACGAAAGUCUGAUGGAGCAACGCCGCGUGAGUGAAGAAGGGUUUCGGCUCGUAAAGCUCUGUUGGUAGUGAAGAAAGAUAGAGGUAGUAACUGGCCUUUAUUUGACGGUAAUUACUUAGAAAGUCACGGCUAACUACGUGCCAGCAGCCGCGGUAAUACGUAGGUGGCAAGCGUUGUCCGGAUUUAUUGGGCGUAAAGCGAGUGCAGGCGGUUCAAUAAGUCUGAUGUGAAAGCCUUCGGCUCAACCGGAGAAUUGCAUCAGAAACUGUUGAACUUGAGUGCAGAAGAGGAGAGUGGAACUCCAUGUGUAGCGGUGGAAUGCGUAGAUAUAUGGAAGAACACCAGUGGCGAAGGCGGCUCUCUGGUCUGCAACUGACGCUGAGGCUCGAAAGCAUGGGUAGGCGAACAGGAUUAGAUACCCUGGUAGUCCAUGCCGUAAACGAUGAGUGCUAAGUGUGGAGAGGUUUCCGCCUCUCAGUGCUGCAGCUAACGCAUUAAGCACUCCGCCUGGGGAGUACGACCGCAAGGUUGAAACUCAAAGGAAUUGACGGGGGCCCGCACAAGCGGUGGAGCAUGUGGUUUAAUUCGAAGCAACGCGAAGAACCUUACCUGGUCUUGACAUCCGGACGCCGUAUGGGCAAAGCCAUAUUUCCUUCGGGACGUCCGAGACAGGUGGUGCAUGGUUGUCGUCAGCUCGUGUCGUGAGAUGUUGGGUUAAGUCCCGCAACGAGCGCAACCCUUACCUUCAGUAGCCAGCGGGAGAAGCCGGGCACUCUGGAGGGACUGCCAGGGACAACCUGGAGGAAGGUGGGGAUGACGUCAAAUCAUCAUGCCCCUUAUGAUUUGGGCUACACACGUGCUACAAUGGCGUAAACAAAGGGAGGCAAAGGAGUAAUCUGGAGCAAACCCCAAAAAUAACGUCUCAGUUCGGACUGUGGUCUGCAACCCGACCACACGAAGCUGGAAUCGCUAGUAAUCGCGAAUCAGAAUGUCGCGGUGAAUACGUAACCGGGUCUUGCACACACCGCCCGUCA
This 1409-nucleotide ribosomal RNA is filed under the name uncultured bacterium. Its description in RNAcentral is "partial 16S ribosomal RNA". It matches the Rfam family "Bacterial small subunit ribosomal RNA". The record is from RNAcentral.